GUAGGGAAUAUUGCGCAAUGGACGAAAGUCUGACGCAGCGACGCCGCGUGAGUGAUGAAGGCCUUAGGGUCGUAAAGCUCUGUUGAAUGGGAAGAAAAAAAUGACGGUACCAUUCGAGGAAGGACCGGCUAACUUCGUGCCAGCAGCCGCGGUAAUACGAGGGGUCCUAGCGUUGUUCGGAAUCAUUGGGCGUAAAGGGUGUGUAGGUGGCCAUGUAAGUCAGGUGUGAAAGCACCGGGCUCAACCCGGGAAGUGCACUUGAUACUGCGUGGCUUGAGUACCGAAGAGGGUAGUGGAAUUCCAGGUGUAGUGGUGAAAUACGUAGAUAUCUGGAGGAACACCGGUGGCGAAGGCGGCUACCUGGUCGAGUACUGGCACUGAGACACGAAAGCGUGGGGAUCAAACAGGAUUAGAUACCCCGGUAGUCC
Molecule: ribosomal RNA, 428 nt
Filed under: uncultured bacterium
Lineage: Bacteria
Description: partial 16S ribosomal RNA
Rfam family: Bacterial small subunit ribosomal RNA
Source: RNAcentral